RNAcentral lists this ribosomal RNA (420 nucleotides) under Triticum aestivum (bread wheat). RNAcentral's name for it is "partial small subunit ribosomal RNA". The record is from RNAcentral. Lineage: Eukaryota; Viridiplantae; Streptophyta; Magnoliopsida; Poales; Poaceae.
AUGUUGGUCACUCAAUAUUUCGUACCCCUAGACGUAAACUACACCUUAGAAAUUUUUUGCAUGUCCCUAGCACAUAAAAAUCUUCUUUCUGUUCAUCGCAUUGCCAUCGAUAAUCAUGUUUUUCUCGAGUUUCACCCUUUUUUCUUUUUGAUCAAGAAUCAGGCAACGAGGGAAAUACUCUAUCGCAGUAGAUGUGUUCGAGGGCUCUAUCCGUUGAUUCCAGAGUUUAGAAGAUUCAAUAAACAAGCUUGUGGUGCUAUCAAGCUUACGUCCACACGAUGGCACGAUCGUUUAGGACAUGCCUUUUUUUCUUUAGUUGAAAAGUUGCUUAGGAAAAAUAAGCUCCCGUUUGUUGGUGAGCGUCAUGUUGAAACAAUUUGUGAUUCAUGUCAACGAGCAAAAAGUCAUCAAUUACCAUAC